Molecule: RNA transcript, 12849 nt
Organism: Monodelphis domestica (gray short-tailed opossum)
Lineage: Eukaryota; Metazoa; Chordata; Mammalia; Didelphimorphia; Didelphidae
Gene: BCLAF1
Gene name: BCL2 associated transcription factor 1
Source: RefSeq, a predicted model, not a curated record
GCGACCCAACGCCCCGCCCACCAAGCGGAAGUGACGCCAUCGAUCUAGCGCGUCGAGAAUACCUCUAUGGUUCUUCUCCUGUUUGUGAGAGGGGGAAAUGGCCGCUGUGCAGCUACUGCGGAGAUAAGUGCUGAAAUCCGCGUUUGGCCGGUCAGGAAUUGGGAUUUAGAAUUUAAAUUUCUGAGAACGUUAUCCCAGGAAGAGUUUUACAGUGUUUCAAAGACAUCACUUGGCUACUUGCCAUUUAUCAGAACCUAAGUAGGAAUAAUCCACUGGAAGAAAUGGGUCGUUCCAACUCUAGAUCACAUUCUUCAAGAUCGAAGUCCAGAUCACAGUCUAGUUCCAGGUCAAGGUCCAGAUCACAUUCUAGAAAGAAGAGAUACAGUUCUAGGUCUCGUUCCAGGACGUAUUCACGAUCUCGGAGUAGAGAUCGUGUUUAUUCUAGAGAUUAUCGACGAGAUUACAGAAAUAAUAGAGGAAUGAGAAGGCCUUAUGGGUACAGAGGAAGGGGUAGAGGGUAUUAUCAAGGAGGUGGUGGUAGAUAUCAUCGAGGUGGCUAUAGACCUGUCUGGAAUAGAAGACACUCACGGAGCCCUAGACGGGGUCGUUCACGUUCCAGGAGUCCAAAACGAAGAUCUGUGUCUUCUCAGAGAUCUAGAAGCCGAUCUCGCCGGUCUUACAGAUCUUCCAGGUCUCCAAGGUCAUCUUCAUCUCGCUCAUCAUCCCCAUAUAGCAAGUCACCAGUCUCCUCAAAAAGGCGAGGGUCUCUUGAAAAGCAGACCAAAAAACCUGAAGGGGCUCCCCCAGAAGACAGCCCUUUGAAAAACAAAUCACAGGAUGAACAGAAAGAUACAUUUGAACAUGACCCCUCUGAACCCAUUGAUGAUUUUAAUAAAUCAUCAGCGGCAUCUGGUGACAUUUGGCCUGGUCUUUCAGCAUAUGAUAAUAGUCCAAGAUCACCUCACAGCCCUUCUCCUGUUGCUACACCACCUAGUCAGAGUUCAUCUUGUUCUGAUGCUCCCAUGCUCAGCACAGCCCACUCUGCAAAAAAUACUCCUUCUCAGCAUUCACAUUCCAUUCAACAUAGUCCCGAGAGGUCUGGAUCUGGUUCCCUUGGAAAUGGUUCGAGUCGCUACAGUCCCUCUCAGAAUAGCCCAAUCCAUCACAUACCUUCACGAAGAAGCCCUGCAAAGACAAUCCCACCACAGAAUGUUCCAAGAGAAGAAACUAGAAUUCGUUCAUUUUAUCCUGAUGGUGGAGAUCAGGAAACUGCAAAGACUGGAAAGUUUUUAAAAAGGUACACAGAUGAAGAGUCUAGAGUAUACCUGCUUGAUAGGGGUAAUACCAGGGAGAAAGAGGCCCAGAAGGAGAAAGGAACAGAAAAAGGGAGGGCAGAGGGAGAAUGGGAGGAUCAGGAAACUUUAGAUUAUUUCAGUGAUAAAGAGGCUGGAAAACGAAAGUUUAAUGAUUCAGAAGGGGAUGACACAGAGGAGACUGAGGAUUAUAGACAGUUCAGGAAGUCUGUCCUGGCAGAUCAGGGUAAAAAUUUUGCUACUGCAUCUCAUCGGAAUGCUGAGGAGGAAGGAGCCAAGUACAAAUCUAAAGUUUCACUGAAGGGCAAUAGAGAAAGUGAUGGAUUUAGAGAAGAUAAAAAUUAUAAACUUAAAGAGACUGGAUAUGUAGUGGAAAGGCCUAGCACUACAAAAGAUAAGCACAAGGAAGACGACAAAAGUUCUGAGAGAAUAAUGGUGAAGAAAGAAACUCAGUCACCUGAGCAGGUAAAGUCUGAAAAGCUCAAAGAACUCUUUGAUUACAGUCCCCCUCUACACAAGAAUCUGGAGGCGAGAGAAAAGUCUACCUUCAGAGAGGAGAGUCCACUUAGGAUCAAAAUGAUAGCCAGUGAUUCUCAUCGCCCUGAAGUCAAACUCAAAAUGGCACCCGUACCUCUUGAUGAUUCCAACAGACCUGCUUCCUUGACUAAAGACAGGCUGCUUGCUAGUACACUUGUCCAUUCUGUCAAGAAGGAACAAGAAUUCCGGUCCAUCUUUGACCACAUUAAGUUGCCACAGGCCAGCAAAAGCACUUCAGAGUCAUUUAUUCAGCACAUUGUGUCCUUGGUUCAUCAUGUUAAAGAGCAAUACUUCAAAUCAGCUGCAAUGACCCUAAAUGAAAGAUUCACCUCAUAUCAGAAGGCCACUGAAGAACAUAGCACCCGGCAAAAAAGCCCAGAGAUACACAGGAGAAUUGACAUCUCUCCGAGUGCCCUGAGGAAGCAUACCCGCUUAUCAGGAGAAGAGAGAGUUUUUAAAGAAGAAAAUCAAAAGGGAGAUAAAAAAUUAAGGUGUGAUUCUGCUGAUCUUCGACAUGACAUUGAUCGUCGCAGAAAAGAAAGAAGUAAAGAACGGGGAGAUUCCAAGGGCUCCAGGGAAUCCAGUGGAUCCAGAAAGCAAGAAAAAACUAAAGAUUACAAAGAAUACAAAUCUUACAAAGAUGACAGUAAACAUAAAAGCAGAGAGCAGGACCGUUCUCGAUCUUCAUCCUCUUCAUCAUCAUCUUCCUCAGCCAGUUCUCGAGAAGAAAAGGACAGUAAGAAGGAAAGAGAAGAAGAGUUUAAAACCCAUCAUGAACCAAAAGAAUAUUCAGGCUUUACAGGAGUCAGCCGGCCCAGAGGAACUUUUUUUCGAAUUAGAGGCAGAGGAAGAGCCAGAGGAGUUUUUGCUGGGACAAAUACUGGUCCAAACAACUCAAAUACUACUUUUCAAAAGAGACCGAAGGAAGAGGAAUGGGAUCCAGAAUAUACCCCAAAGAGCAAGAAGUACUUCUUGCAUGACGACAGGGAUGAUGGUGUGGAUUAUUGGGCCAAAAGAGGAAGAGGCCGUGGCACUUUCCAACGUGGCAGAGGGCGGUUUAACUUCAAAAAAUCAGGUAGCAGUCCAAAAUGGACACAUGACAAAUACCAAGGGGAUGGGAUUGUUGAAGAUGAAGAAGAGACGAUGGAAAAUAAUGAAGAAAAGAAGGACAGACGCAAAGAAGAAAAGGUAGAAAAUUCCAACUUGUCAGUGAAUUGAAGAGCAGAUUUCCUUCAGUAUGGGCUAGGAGGGUGACGAUUUGCUAAAACUAGUAAAUCUAAUUUUAUAAACAGAGCUUGCUAUGGUUUAUAAAUUGUAUGUAGUUCCCCCCCUGGCUCUGUUAAUCUUCAUUUUCUGUGUUUUUUAUUAUAGGAAUAGUAAAUCUGAAGUAAGAUUGCAACUGAGAGCAGAACUUGCACCCACCAUUUUUUUACGUGAUUUUUUUGUUUUCAAAAACGAAUACUUCCUUUUGCCCAGAGAAGGGAAACAAAAUGAACCAAAGGAUGUUUCCAGGAAGGAUUAAGAAAGCUGCUUAAUCACAAGAAGGCCAUGACUCAGUUCUUAGCCACAGACUACAGCCCAUCCCUGGCCAUCCAGAUUUGUAAACAUAUCCUACUGGUUGAAAAGGAGAAUAUGAGAACAGCACAAAUCCAUCACCACUCCUGGAAAAACAACUCAGAGUACUCACCUCAUUAUCUAGUCCUUGGAUUUGAAGGGUAAUAGUCUUUGCUGUUUUAUUUGAAUUAGUAAGGAAAGAAUUUGUUUUAAACCUGUUUAGCAAUUCUCGAGUACUUGUAAAGGAAACAUUUGUUGCAUUUUGUAGUUUUUUGGUAAGAAGCUGAAUAUAAUCACCAGUAUCAUUUCUGCAUAAAGAAAAAAGGAUAUAUGCUUUUUGAAGGUUUUGGGUUUUUUUAACCUUAGUGAUUAUGAUUAUCUAAAUGGAUUGUCCUGGCAGUCCUUGAGUGACAAAAUUUAAUUCACUUUUUUUAUGUAAAAGAAAUUGCAUAAGGAACCAGUUACUGUCACAGUGUCUGUUCCUUCCUCUGUGUUUCUCCAUUAAAAAACUAGGAAAUGCCUAUUGUUUAAUGAAAGAAAAUAUUAUAACCUAAGUUGUAACUGUCAAGGUUAGUAGUAAUUUGAAUUAUGUACACAUUACUUUUUUUCAAAACACUUUCAUGUCCCUAUGGUUAAUUUUGAGAUGUAGAUAGUAGAUGUGAGAUUAAAAUUUGGGUCUCAAUUCCAUUUUACAUACAGACCUAAUAUUAAAUAGGAAGAAAAAUAGCUAUAGACUGUGAUAAAGAGAUAUCUUGAGUCCAUGACUGAAAUUUUAGCUCUAGACUGUACCCCAUAGUAUAUUUACCUGCAUGAAAAGUAUUUUCCCAGUGAAAAAGGAAAGGAGCAGUAAAAAUCUUAUCAGAACAUGAUAAAAAGAAAGUCCCUGCUCAUUUGCCUUGUUUAGAAAGGAUAAAAUACAACUAUGUUUGGCACUAAAGUUUCUUCAGAGCUUGGCUUCAGCCUCUACUUUUCCAAGAUGAUUCAAGCCAUAUUGGACUAUGUACUUUAUGCUGUUGACAUCCCUUUUCUGUUUCACUGGCCCUGAAUGUUCACUGAAGACAAGCCCCCCCCCCCCCCCCCCAUUUUGUAUGUUUCUUACUAAAGAAUAAAGUCAAUUUCUAGUGAGUAAACUUUAUUUACCUAUGUAAACCUUUGCAAAUUUAGAAUAUCAGUGUCAAAUAAGCCAACAUGAUCAGAAUGACUCAGAGAUCAGUUCUGUAUCCCUUAUGUCAUGCUUCUUCUCAUGAUGUAUAUUAUGCUAUGUUUUAUGUACAAAUUACCUCUCCCUUUUUCAACAGAAUGUAAUCUUGUUGAUCUUUCAUUUUUGUCUAGUAUUAUUCCUGGCAAAGAGCAGGCAAUUAACAAAUUCCUAUAGAGUAAAAGAAUGAAUUAGUAACAUUACUGGAAUCAAUUCAACUUGAAUACAAAGUUGGGGCCUUCAGCAUUUUUACAUUCACUCUCUUUAGCCUUUGCUGAAGGAUCAAUGAAAAACUGAGCAGAUGAGUUGUUUUCUCUAAAGACACUAAAACACACCCAUAAAACUCUUUUUUUUAAGUUGAAUAUUCAACUUCAAAAUUACAUUUCAUUUUUCUGAAACCAUAUUCCUGAAGGUUAUAUAUACAUGUACAGAGUCAAUAAGUUCCUGGUAAGGGUGGUGACAGAAAAGUUAAAAAACUUCAGCAUGGAUAUUUUCACUUGAUUUUAAAAUCCUUCAAUGAGUGAAGAGGCAACAUUCUUCUCCCUAUUAGAAACCUCAGCCAACUAAGAAAAGUGGUGAGGAAUUAGCAGUGGCAGGUGAUAAAGUUUGAUGAUCUUUUGAGGUUCUUAUUGGAAACCUUUGAUAAUGUGAGGUAUAAAGGUGUGUUUAUCGAGCUAGUAGAGAAAAAAGUAAUUUGUAUACCGGUAUAGUUUAGGUCUCACUAGAAAAAUCAGUAGAGUUGGAAGAGAUUUAAUAGAUCAUUUUGAAUUCUAAAAACUCAUUUCCAUCAAUUAGUUUCUAGUAUUUUUAUGUAAAUCUGGAUUUUUACAUUUGCUAUAUAAGAAACAUAGAAACAGCUCUCAUAGGAGGUUCUUGAUUUAAUCAAGUAUUGUGAGCAUGAUUAUCUGGUUUCCCUUGUCACCUCUGAAAUUUACUGAGUUAGCAAUGAAGAACAAAUUUUAUAAUUUAAUAUGGAAUAAAGAUAUUUAGAAUAAAAGUUAGUGAUACAUAAUAAGACUACAAAGAAAUAAUAAUAAUAGAUGAUAACAGUAAAGCUUGCAUUUAUAUUGUACUUUAAGUUUGGAAAGUGCUUUAUAAAUAUUCUCAUUUGAUCCUCAUAGCAACUUUGGGGGAAUAGGUGCUAUUAUUACCCCCAUUUUACAGAUAAGGAAAUUGAUGCAAACAAACGUUAAAAGUGGUUUUGCUCAGGGUCAACACAAUGAGGUAGGAAUCAAAUACUGGUAUUACCUUGACUCCAAAUCCACUAUGGCACCUUUUGCAUGCUUUUUUUUUUUUGAACAGUGUACUACAUCUUUAUAGUAAGGCAGCUAACAUAUAAGAUUCUCCUAAGGUAGCUGAUGUCUGAGUUUAGUAUAGCAAAAUGCAAGCAUGAAUGGCUUUUAGAUAAUUUUUGAGUGUAGAAAAACUUUAAUAAGGGAUCCAUGAUAGAUAUGACCCAACGUAUACUGAAAGCUUAGUAUGCUAAUUGAGUAUCAGUUAUUAAUGACAAAGUCAGCUGUAAAGCAGGAUUUUUAAUACAUGCUCCACAGUUUCAUGAAAGCUGUCCCACAUAGGUCAAAAUCAAAGAAUUUUGUGUUAAUGGUGAAGUUCUCCAAAAAUUCCUUUUCACAGAUGACAAUGAUUAUAUCAAAUCUAGAAUAUUACAAAACCUUUCCAGGAAUGGUGAAAGUUGAGCUAUCUACAUUGGAGAAUUAAAGUGAAUGAAAAAAGUGCCCAUAACCCCUCAUGCUAAAUAGUUAAAUAAUAAGCUCACUUGCUUUUCACAACAACACUAUUAGAUAGGUUACUGUAAUUAUCCCUGUUUUAUAAGUAAAGUUAUAACCAAAUCUACAUAGCCUAGUGUCUUAUCAAAUCCAGGUCUUCUUGACUUCAAAUUAUUGUUCAGUUCACCAUAUCACACUAUCUUGACAUGUAUGUCAUAAAAGAAUUUUAAUAUAACGAGCUCAGAAAUGAAUCAAAGUUGGAGAUGAGCAUGGAAUGUAAUUAGGAAAUAGCACAGGACUUAUAAUAGCAAACUGUUUAUUGUCACAUGUCCAUCUCUUACACUAAUAUUAUGGUGUUGCUACAUUUUUGUGAAUUCUUAAAAAGUUUAAAAGAUGCAUAGUGGAUAUAAAUAAAUAUUGAUAAAGACUUGGUAUAAAAUGUUACUAUGUUAUUAAUGGCCAGAAAUCUAAAUAGGCUGAUCUCAUGGUAUAAUGAUGGCAAUUCUAGUACUAACACUUAUUUUAAAAGGGCAGUAAAGGGGGAAGCUAGGUGGAUAGAGAGCCAUACCUAGAGAUGAGAGGUUCUGGGUUCAAAUGUGCCCUCAGGCACUUCCUAGCUAUGUGAUCUAAGUUGCCUAGCUCUCACUGCCAAACUUUCCUUGCAUUAUGUCAAUUAGAAUGGAAUUCUGAAAGAUAAUUGUGUGCCCACACAAUGGAAAAGACUGGGCAGUAAGUACCCUUUUAUAUAAGGAAAGGUCACUUUUCUGGUGGUAAGUUAAAAAUGAAAAAUCUGAUUCCAAAUCUAAGGUAAAAUUUGAGUAUAUUCAAAUAUAUUAAUACUUUAGAAGUACUUUAUAUACAUUGUUAAUUCAAUUUAAAAUAACAGAUUUCCUAGAUCCUUUGAGUGUUUCCCCUUUUGGGGGAGAGGGCAGAGAAUAUUAUUUCAUUUUUCAACAUUUGAUGGCAUAAAAAAUAAGAAAGUGUAGCUGAUGAAAAAUGCCAGAUGUGGGAGAAUUCAAAUCAAAAACAACAACAUGGUAAGAAAAAGAGUAUUUUAUCCUGUCAGAUUAAAUGAUGUAACACUAAUAUUCCUCUUCCUACGAACAAAAUCAUUCCUAAAUGAGUGUGGCUUCAAGGAAGAGGAUAAACUGAAACAUUCAAAUUCUUCCUUUUGAAAUAAAUACUUAUAUUUAUAUAAUCCCACAGAAUUGUAAGUAUAAGUGAUUUUACAAAGUUCCUUGAUUUUAAAAUGAGCUAUAGUAAAAUCUCUUGGAUUCUCAGGGAUGGAGUGUAAGUGGCAUGAAUGUUUAAGCUGAGGAGAGAUUAAGAAAAAAAGUGUUGGUUUUGGUAUUAGCACUUUAAAGUUUGUAAGGUGUUUUACACACCUGAUCUCAUUUGGUUCUUAACAAAAAUCCUCUGAAGUAGGUGCUAUCAUUCUCUUUUUACAUUUGAGAACACUGAAGCUUAAGAUGAUUAAAUGACUUUGUAUAUAAUCACACAAUUGGUUACACAAAAAGUAUAUGAUUUAGGAAUUGAAGCACUUGAUUAUUCAAUACUUUAUCAUUGUGCCCCUAUGUGAUGUUUCUUAUUAACUAAGGAUAUUAAAUAGGAAUAAUAAGGAUAUUACAAGAAAUGAAUAAAUUAUGCUUCUGGCAUUUUAAGGACACCCUGCUCCCUGCUUCCCGCCCCCUCUCCCCCAGCUUUCUGGUCCACUUGAAAUUCAGUAUUGACCUGGACCUUCUCUGUUGUAUCACGGUCCUAUAAACUGCACUCUGAACCGUGGCUUUGUACAUGAGAGUCAACUACAACAAAUAAUAAUGCCCUUAUUUUGGUAGUACUUUGCUGAGGAUGGUGAAGUAGACAAAAAAUAAAGUGGCCCCUACUCUGAAAGUGUUGAUGCUCUCCUGAUUUUACUGAAGUGUUUGAUUUUACUAUUGUUCUCCUACUUAGCUAAUGACCUCAACCAUCUGAGGCAGCCAAUGCUGGUACUUAACUCAGUUUUCCCACAUCCAUAUUUCAUCCCUGUCUUGGAUUCUUAAUCUAGUCUAUAGCCAUUUCAAAGGUCUGCAAAGAGAUAACACUUCCUAUGUGUUCAAAACCUCUCUACCCUGGGCCCAAAUGAAGGGUCUGGCUUCACUACCAAGACUUGAUGCUCAAUUCUAUCACCUCAUUAUUUUUAGUUCCUUAUAGUUUGGACUUUAGUAUUGCACUGAAGCUGCUUUCAGAGGUUACUUAACUUUCAAACCCUUUGAACUCUGCAAUGUUACAAUGCUGGCUAUUCCUUUUUUCUAGAUACUGUUCUCAGUUUGCUUCUGUGUAACAGCAUUUAGGGUUUUUGUCUUUUAAAGCUCCCCUUUUCCCUCAUGUUCUUCAAAGUCAGGGAAUUCCCCAAAGGUUUGUAUUUGGUUAUCUUCUUCUCUACACAUCCUCAGUGAAGGAAUUUCCAUAGUUUCAGUUAGAACUCUGUGAGGAACUUCCCAAAAUGGACCUACUCAAGCUCCAGACUCACAUUUACAACUAGCAUGUGUGCCCAGCUUUCAGACUCUUUCUAUGACCUGGAUUCAUCAUUUUUUACCCCCCCCCCCCAAACCUGUUCUACUUUUAGCUUCCUUAUUCUUUUUUUAAAGGAGCCUCAAUUUUUUUCUUAUCACACUGGCUUAAAAUUCCAGUAACUAAACUACUGUUAAAAAAAUUAUUUUACACUUUAGAAUCAAUACUAAGUAUCAGUUCCAAGGCAGAAGAGCAGUUAGGGUUAAGCAAUGGAAGUUAAGUGACUUGCCCAGGGUCACAGAGCUAGGAAGCAUCUUGAGGUCAGAUUUGAAACCAAGACUUCCUAUCUCUAGGGCUUGCUAUCAAUCCACUGAGCCACCUAGCUGGGUCCUACACUACUUCUUUAUCCGAAUGUUCAUUUGUAAUUUCUAAUCUGCUUUCUACUCCCACUGCUCCCAUCUUGGUAUUCUUUCAUGGUAGAGGCAUUUCUAAAAUUGAAAUCUACUCUUAAAGGUCAAAAAUACCACCAGGGUGAGCAGGAUUAUAGAAUUUAGCACCAAACUACACUCCCCUCUUCAUAGAUUAGGAAACAGGUCCAGAAACAUCGAGUAUGUAGGCAUUACAGGCAAGCCCACAAAAGGAGUUAAAUUGGCAUCUUAGAAUUAUGUAUAUAGAUUUUGUAAAGCCUACACCCUAUGAGGGAUGAUGGUUAUUUUGAUCUGUAUGUUCUAUAAUGAGUCCUAGUGGGGUGGGAGAGAGGGAAAAUAUGAUAUAAUAAGAAUAAACCAUUUAUUAAAUGCCUGCUGUGUGCUGCCAUGUACUAUGCUACCAACAAGCAAAACAGUUCUACUCUUAAGGAAUACUUAUAAUAGCUAAUGUUUGUUAAUGUUUAAAGUUUUUACAGUUCUCAAUUGAUCUUCAUACCAAUCCUGGGACGUAGAUAAUGUCCACACUUUACAGAUAAGGAAACUGAGGCAAACAGGUUAAGUGACUUGCCCAGGGUCACACAGCUAGUAAGUAUCCCAAGCUGGACUUGACUCAGGCCUUCCUGAUUCUAGGCCCAGUGCUCUAUCUGCUGUAUCAUCUAGCAUCUUUUUAAGGUGGGAGCUGAGAUGGGUGGGUUGGAGUUUUCUGCAUUAUGUCAUUUCCCUGCCUCCAAACUUAAAUUCUGCCUUACAUGUUCAAAUUCCACUAUAAUCUGGACUGAUGCUUCUACUAGUCUGACAUCUGAGCUUUCUGCCCUAGUUUGGACAGCUCCCUGAUACCAAAGCAACAAAAUAUGCUCUUUCCCAGCUCUGUUUCCUUUGUUUUUAUUGUGAACCUUUUCUCUUUCUAAAUUUUAUUCUUUCAAAGUCUAGUUAAAUAAGAUUUUAUCUCUUCUACAAUGCCUUCCUAUUUAGGAUUACAGGAUUAAGAUACUAAAAAUCUAAUCCAAUGCCUUAAUUUUAUGACAAAACUGAGGUGGCCUGGAGAACUUAAAUGAUUUAUCCAAGAUUAUCCAGUUAAGUAAAAAGCAUAGGUAAGAUCUCAACCCACUUGUGAUAUUAAGACUUUCUGUUCUUAACUAUUUCCUAAUUCUCAUUGAUUUCUCUUUUUUCAGCUCCUAUAGUCUGAACCAUACAAUUUAGUUAAUGGCUGUUUUAAAUUGUUAAUUUAGAUAUUAGUCUUUUCCAACUAAAUGGUGAAUUGCUUGAGUGUAGAGUCUUAAUUGCAAAUCUAGUAUAUGUGCUGACAAAGUAAAUACCUAAUUAAAAAUUUAUCCAUGUGUUCCAUAGGCUAUCAUUGAUUUCUGUACUUAAUAAGUACACACUCACUGAUUUGCUUAGUCAAUAAUUAUGAAAGGCAAAGAUGUUGUACUAUUGAAUGCACAUUACAAGAGUGUUUACAUCUGUCUUUACACUCCCCUUGGAAGUUACUGAGCAUCUUUUGCCCUCUUCUCUGUUGCAUGUGUUAACUGUUUUAAUUGUCAUAAUGUAAGUGAGACAUUUCACAGUACUAAUUUAAGAACACUCAUUCAGACUUUUAGGGAAUAGUAAAUUGCUGUAACUUAAGAUUUUAUAAUGCACAGAAGCAGUGAUUGAAGGUCUUCAUUAAGUUCUUAGGCAUUACUAACUUCCAUUAGUUGAAAGAUACUGAGGUAUUGCAUUCAUUAUUUUAUAUGAAUAAAACUCAUUUAUGUUUAAAUAAUUUCUCUCAAAUUUUCCUAAUUGCCUAAAAGGCAACACUUUUAAAAGAAUUUCUUAAGGUAUUUAGAUAAGUAGUCAUAAGAACACAUGAUAUUAGAGGCAAAUAAUGAAUAAAAGAAAUACUUUCUAUAAUGGUAAAAAUAAGUAUGCAUAAGCAAAAUAUGGAGGAAGGGAAAAGAAUUGACCUGUUAACUGUACAAUGAAAAAAUACAUCAAAAUAAGCUUUUAGGUUUUUUACAAGAAUUCUUUUUAUACUAUUCUCUUUUUAAUGUUUAGAUGAUUAAGAUCAUUACAAUUUUAAUUUUCACUGAAGGAAUAAAUGAAAAUUCCUCACCUGGAGAGAUGAAUGAAUAACUUCAAAAUGAUUCAGAAACAUAAAAAUGGAAUAACACUAUUUUUGUUGUUUCUGUUCUGUGGAUAUGAAACUAAAUCUAACCAACAUACAAUUGGGCAUCUGUGCUUGUAAUUGUAAAUGUAUCUGAAAAUGUGGAAGUGGAGACAAAUGCCAUGUAAUUUAUACUUCAUCUUGAGUUCUUUUGUUUAAAAGCUGUUUUGUUAUUAAUUGGGUAUCUGGAAUUUAAUCCUUAGAUUGUCUUUUGUAUUUACUUUUAACAAGUCUUUAAAUAGUUUCUACUUACUCCUUCCUAUAAACCUAGGUAUAACAACGUGACCUCGCAGAGGAGGUUUUUGACCAUUCAAAAGUUUAAUAAUCCACACAGCAAAAAUCAAAUAAAUAAAAAUGCAUAUUGUUUAGAUCAUGUUGACAUGUUAGGUGGGUAGCCUAUCGAAUUAGUCUUUCAGUACCUUAGUCUUGAAUAAGCAUUUCAAAUGGAAGAUGAGUUAGUUCCCAAAUUGAUAAAGAGGAAGAUAAAAGGCUAAAUUAUAAGACUUUGGAUAAUUUCACAGUGUUUUAAAUAAUCCCAAGAAGCUCCCUGAUAUAAAUCCAUCAAUUUUUCCUCCCUUUAAAUUAAUAAUUUAAACUUAUACUUCUAUCCCACUUGCCUGUCUCACUAAACCUCAUUUUCAUAAAUAUUUGGACAAAACCUAACAACGUUAUUGUGUCUCACAAUAAAGACUUCACUCCAUACUUUUGUGUGUCUUAUUUUUUUAAAAAUUAUUUUCAUUAUACAAAGACUACAGAAACUGUCUCCCACUUUUGAAAGGAAGGUAUGCAUUUUUUCUUUCUGGGAUUCAUAUUGAUCACUAUGAUCUUUGAGCAUCAUUUUAGUGUUUACAUUUACGUUGUCAUGCAUAUUUUUUUCUUGAUUCUACUCUUUAUAGCCCAUAUUUUUUCAUUAUCAUCUUUUUGGUGAUGCUAUAUAUUGGUGAUUUAUGGAACAUUACAUUCUGAGAAGAAUGAAAAACACGAGUGACUUCAAGGUCAAUGGAUAGAUGUGUGAAUUGAGUAUAAGUGAGAUGCAGCCCUAUUAUCAAUGUACAAGAAGUGCUGUAAAAAUGAAGAAUGGAGGCUGAUGGUGUAAUAAUAACCCAAUGAUAAUUGGUAUAUACUCCCAAGUGUGUCAUUGACAGGUAUGAAAAACUACAAGAUUUAAAGUAAGGCUUCAAGCAGAUUGGUUGAUUGCCAUUGGAAGAUUUAAUGACACGAAGACAAAAUUACAUGAAACAAAAAUCACAGGAUGGAAAGCCAAGAAUGGUUUGCAAUCUAAUUUCUGGGAGUGUCCACAAUAAUGAAAUGUGUCCAUUAAAAUCAGUAUUUAAAUAAAGUCUUACAUGCAUGUCAUUAAUGUUAAAUAUUGCUGAUUCCCCCAAGAAGGUAAAGGAGAAAGGGUAAAGAUGUGAGCAAAUUUAAGUGACAUAAAAUCAAUAAAAAAUGUAAAAUAUUUAAA